RNAcentral lists this ribosomal RNA (223 nucleotides) under uncultured Candidatus Accumulibacter sp. Its description in RNAcentral is "partial 16S ribosomal RNA". It matches the Rfam family "Bacterial small subunit ribosomal RNA", at positions 636 to 857 of the family's 1533-position model. The record is from RNAcentral. Lineage: Bacteria; Pseudomonadati; Pseudomonadota; Betaproteobacteria.
CCCUUCUGGAGUUUGGCAGAGGGGGGUGGAAUUCCACGUGUAGCAGUGAAAUGCGUAGAGAUGUGGAGGAACACCAAUGGCGAAGGCAGCCCCCUGGGUCGAUACUGACGCUCAUGCACGAAAGCGUGGGUAGCAAACAGGAUUAGAUACCCUGGUAGUCCACGCCCUAAACGAUGUCAACUAGGUGUUGGGAGGGUAAAACCUUUUAGUGCCGUAGCUAACG